ACACAGACAGUGGACGCUAAGCUCCAGUACACUCUCUGCUUAACCAUUGUUUUAUCGUGAAAAAAACAUGAAUGUUUUUUGUGUUUCAAUACUUUUGGCCUGGUUAUCGAGUGCCUUCAGUGCACGUGUGGAACAAACACCGCGUUGGGCAACAAAAGUAACCGGCGAAACUCUGACCAUCCAGUGCGCUUUACGUGAUAACUACUACUCGCUGCAUAGUACACUAUGGUUCCGGCAAAAACCGGGUCAAUCGCGACGGUAUCGAAUAUCGAUUGGAGGACGAUACGUUGAAAAAGUCAACAGACAGCAAAAUACAUUUUCCCUGCAGAUCAGGAACCUGGCCGUUGAUGACACGGCCACGUACGUCUGCCAGGGAAGGCACCGAAGUGAAUCAUUGUGUGACUAUGAUGGAGCUGGCACAACGCUGACUGUGAAACGUGCAAAACAACCGACACCACCAAUCAUCAACCUCUCCUACUCUGCAUCUGACGAACUAAAGGCAAAGGGUUUUGUCGAACUGAUUUGUCUCAUCGGCGAAUAUUAUCCCCAAGAUAUCAGGGUGAACUGGCAGAAAGACGGACAGGCCGUACAGUCCGGAUUUACCACUGCCCCCCCAGCUAAAACUGCAGACGGAACGUUUACCUCGACUAGUGUGUUCAAGGUGGCGCUUGACGACUGGGCCAGCGGUUCCCGAUACUCCUGCCAAGUUUCCCACUCUGCAACCGGCAGCAACCUCCAAAAAGACAUUCAAAAGACAUCAGACCUCGCGAUAUUUCUCAGAGAUCCCACCGUCGAAGAAAUUUGGUUCAACAAAACUGCGACCGUGGUCUGCGAAGUGAUCGCCACAGCUUCGACUGAAGUUACGAUCUCUUGGACAGUGGAUGGAAAGGAAAGAGUUGCUGAUAUUCAAACCGAUCAAGCUACCAAGGCCGGGAACCAGUACUUGACGAUCGGCCGCUUGACCAGUAACCUCACAGAAUGGGACAGCGGAGUGGAGUACUCGUGCUCGGCGCGGGACCAUCAAUCAGCUACUCCGGUAUCACAGCGGACACGGAAGGCUGAAGUCAAACCAGUGCAACCAACAAUCCGUCUCUUGCCGCCAUCUCCAGAGGAGCUUGAAAGUGCGAACUCCGCGACACUGACAUGUUUGAUCACAGAAUUCUAUCCAAACGAUAUAACUGUUUCCUGGGAGAAAGACGGAGCCGCAUUCCUCUCUAACGCUACAAACUUCCCCGCGGCGCUGGAACAGGGCAAGUUGUUCAGCACAAAGAGCCUUCUCAUCUUGACAGCAGCCGAUUGGAAGAAAGGAGCAAGAUACUCCUGUGUAGUCUCGCACCUCCCUUCACAAUCCACUCUAAAGCAAAGCAUCCGGAUCCCGAAAGGAGACUGCGAUGUGGUUGACAUCAAUGCUGCCAUACAAACACCUUCAUUUGAAGAGAUCUGGACGCUUCAGAAAGCAACUAUUGUUUGUGAAGUCGUUUACACCGAUUUGCAGAACGUCAAGGUCUCGUGGCGAGUGAAUGGGAGUCUGAGAAUGGAAGGGGUACAAACUCUGGAUCCUGAGUGGAGGGGAAGUAAAUCUGUCGUCGUCAGCAAGCUGAGGGUCAGCGUCGAAGAGUGGGAGAGUGGGGUUGAAUACCUGUGCUUUGUAGAAGACAGUGAUCUGCCAACACCAGUGAAAGUUUCCACGACAAGCUCCAAGGUUACCGAAAUGAAACGUCCUAAAGUCUACCUGCUGCACCCAUCAUCGGAAGAGAUUCAAGCCGAGAAAGUUGCCACGCUCGUUUGCCUCGCCACCGGGUUUUAUCCGUCAGACAUAUACGUCGCCUGGAUGGCCAACGACACCCUGUUGGAUUCGGGUUACACCAUCCAACUUGACACCGACAAGGAAAACGGCUCCAGCUCGGUUGCCAGCAAGUUAAAAGUGACUGCAGAGGACUGGGAGAAGGGGACCACCUUUAGCUGUUUGGUUGGACACCCGUCCCUCGCCACGAAUUUAGUCAGAAGUAUCAAUAAGGCUCACGGUAAACCUACUUUAGUUAAUGUGUCAAUCGUUCUGACCGACAGUUUUAAAUCGUGCAUCUAA
Non-coding RNA from Amblyraja radiata (thorny skate), 2086 nucleotides. NCBI's taxonomy places the organism in Eukaryota, Metazoa, Chordata, Chondrichthyes, Rajiformes, Rajidae. The record is from the annotation of a RefSeq genome assembly.